Molecule: transfer RNA, 65 nt
Filed under: Pselaphinae sp. 12 EF-2015
Lineage: Eukaryota; Metazoa; Arthropoda; Insecta; Coleoptera; Staphylinidae
Description: tRNA-Pro
Source: RNAcentral
CAGAAAAUAGUUUAAAAAAAAAUAUUAAUUUUGGAGAUUAAUGAUAUAGAUCACUUUUUUUCUGA